CAUUUAUUACGAAAGCUUCUUCAACUGAUAGCAAAACUCGUGCAGAUGAUUCUAGCCAGGUGCCAAACACAAAAUUCGAUACCAAAGCAUCUGACCUUCUUACCAACGAUUUAAAGGCCACUGGUACCGUAUGCUCAGUACAGAAAUCUUGUGACUCAAACAUCUUGUGACGACCAGCGGUGGGAAAGACUGAGAUUUAUGAAAGUUUAAUUCCAAAACAACUCUUUGAUGAUUUAUCGGCCGAACUCAAUAAAGAAGGAGCCAGACAACGCCUUGAAACUACAACAGAACUUCUUAGCAAGAGCACAGACAGCGUACAUUGAUUGUAGAUCUUGUCAAAGAUCGCCUCGCAUCGUGUAGAGAAGAUGAGGAAACUAAUAUUGAAGAUACCCGGGAUGAUGUUGAAAU
This is a long non-coding RNA of Dendronephthya gigantea, 408 nucleotides long. RefSeq lists it as uncharacterized. The transcript has 3 exons. NCBI's taxonomy places the organism in Eukaryota, Metazoa, Cnidaria, Anthozoa, Malacalcyonacea, Nephtheidae. The record is from RefSeq and is a predicted model, not a curated record.